UUCCAGGUGGUGCAGUGGUACAGCAUCUGCCUACAAUGCAGGAAACCUGGGUUUGAUCCCCAGAUUGGAAA
This 71-nucleotide transfer RNA is filed under the name Capra hircus (goat). It matches the Rfam family "tRNA". Rfam says of the family: Transfer RNA (tRNA) molecules are approximately 80 nucleotides in length. RNAcentral also lists the same sequence under 1 other name. The record is from Rfam by way of RNAcentral. Lineage: Eukaryota; Metazoa; Chordata; Mammalia; Artiodactyla; Bovidae.